This 4169-nucleotide long non-coding RNA is filed under the name Canis lupus familiaris (dog). Its description in RNAcentral is "lncRNA (ENSCAFG00040025673.1)". The record is from RNAcentral. Lineage: Eukaryota; Metazoa; Chordata; Mammalia; Carnivora; Canidae.
UGGUGUGGAGAACAUCUUGGUUUGAUGAUGUGUUAAUGUUGAAAUAUGCAUGGAUGUUGAUUUUUUUUGAAGAAGAUGUUAUUUACUUAUUUAUUUUAGAGAGAAUGAGAGAGAGAGAUAAUGCACGCACACAAGUAGGGGGAAGAGCAGAGGAGGAGGGACAAGCAGACUACCUGCUGAGCACGGAUCCCAAUGCAGAGCUUCGUCGCAGGACCCUGAGAUCAUGACCUGAGCCAAAAUCAAGAGUUGGAUGCUCAACCAAUUGAAUCACCAAGGUGCCCUGGAUGUUAAUUUUGAUGGUGUUUUAUGAGGCAUCAAUGCUAUGGGGUUUUACCAUUUUCCUAUGAACCAUUCCUUGGUAUAGUUAAUUUCUGUUGGAGAUUUUAGUGAUUUGAUUAGAAGUUUAGAAGAUGAGAUUAGAUAAUCAUCAAAAAAGAUGAUACUAUAGUGCCAACAUUAAGGUAUGGAGGAUAGGGAUCAGAAUUAUUUGAGUUUGAAAGGCAGCCCUACCACUUUUUUGUUGUGUGAUAUUAAACUUUAGGCUCCUCUGCUGUGAAAUUGGGAUAAUAGUAGAACCUUCCUCCUCUAGCUGUCAUGACCAUGAAAUUAGACAAUGACUCAUUCCUAUAAUGAUUGAAAUAGCCAGAUGAACUGUACCUCCAGAAAUGAAUUCUUCUAGUCUAUCUAAAUAUGAGGGAAGUGAAUAGAGGCACUGGUCAUUUAAAUCUAGGGAGACUUUACAAAUGGUUUUCAUGUCCCAAAUGAUGUCCAAUGUGGUUGAAGGUGAUCAUAACAACUUCAGACUCAGUGAGAUUUUGGACUGUAGACUCAACUGUUUUUGCUCAUGCUCACAUUGCCAGGACUUAGCACAGUGCUUGGCAUAUAGUAGCCAUGAAAAAUAUUUGUCUCUCUGCUUUCAGUGUUGCCUUCUUCCCAACUUUCCUUUACUCUUCUUCCCAGAGUUUUCUUUCCAAAUGUGGAUUUAAACCUGUCUUUUACUUGCAUACAGAAAUGAAAAGAGAGGUUCCCUCUUUUUAAAAUUAUUUUUUAUUUUUUCUAUUGGAGUUCAAUUUGCCAACAUAUAGCAUAACACCCAAUGCUCAUCCCAUCACGUGCCCCCCUCAGUGCCCAUCACCCAGUCACGCCCACCCCCCACCCAUCUCCCUUUGCACCACCCCUUGUUCAUUUCCCAGAGUUAGGUGUCUCUCAUGUUCUGUCUCCCUGUCUGAUAUUUCCCACUCAUUUUAUCUCCUUUUCCCUUUAUUCCCUUUCACUAUUUUUUAUAUUCCCCAAAUGAAUGAGACCAUAUAAUGUUUGUCCUUCUCUGAUUGACUUAUUUCACUCAGCAUAAUACUCUCCAGUUCUAUCCACAUCGAAGCAAAUGGUGGGUAUUUGUUGUUUCUAAUGGCUGAGGAAUAUUCCAUUGUAUACAUAGACCACAGCUUCUUUAUCCAUUCAUCUUUCAUUGGACACCGAGGCUCCCUCCACAGUUUGGCUAUUGUGGACAUUGCUGCUAUAAACAUUGGUGUCCCGGUGUUUCACUGCAUCUGUAUCUUUGGGGUAAAUCCCCAGCAGUGUAAUUGCUGGGUCGUAGGGAAGUUCUAUUUUUAACUCUUUGAGGAACCUCCACACAGUUUCCAGAGUGGCAGCACCAGUUCCCAUUCCCACCAACAGUGCAAGAGGGUUCCCUUUCUCCGCAUCCUCUACAACAUUUGUUUCCUGCUUGUUAAUUUUCCCCAUUCUCACUGGUGUGAGGUGGUAUCUCAUUGUGGUUUUGAUUUGUAUUUCCCUGAUGGCCAGUGACGCAGAGCAUUUUCUCAUGUGCUUGUUGGCAGUCUCUUCAAUCAAAGGUUCCCUCUUUACUGGGAGCAUCAACAAUUUGGAGAAUCUCAGUCUAGACCUGCCAGGGCCCUGCCCAUUGGUGGAGCAGAAAGCAAGAAAAUCAAGGACUCUAGCCAGGGUUCCAGCAGGAAAUGGACAGUACAACCCAACAGGAGCAAUUUGAGAAGAAUUCAACCAAUGGAUUAUAUGUAAAGGUAUAUGGAAUGGACUUAGGGAAACCAGUGAGGGAUAAGACAGUACUCCAGGCUGCUGUCACCAUCCCUAUACCUAAAUAGGCAAGGAGGGGACAGUUCCUGGAACCUGGGAGCACCUCCUGAUGGGAGCCAUGGCCUUUGGCUGCAGAACCUGACUGGGGGAGUAGCUGAGAAAUAACCUCCCUGAUCAAUCUCAUUUUCUUUCUGCUUUAAUCUCCUACUGGUGACUCCCCCUGGGACCAGGCCAACCAGAAGCCAGAGUGCCAUGCAGAGGUAACACAGCCCAGAGCUGGGCGGGAAAGGGUGGAUAUGGGGCUGGAAGAGCCAAACACGAGAUACCCAGCAUCUUAUGGAAGUAAGUUUGCCAUCUUGAACCUCACAGAAUGAACUCCUCUCAAUGGAGAACAGAAAAGCAUGCUGGGCAAACAAAAACUAAGGGAAUCUUCAUUCUCCACAUUGAGAAGAAGCUGGAACCAACGUCCGUUGACAUUGAGCCUUAUUUUCUUCUCCUAUGGUUUCCUGAGGUUUAGAGCUUGUUGUUGCUGUGACCACCGACACCAUAUUUUAUCAAAACCUUUCAAAACUUACACCUGAAACUAUAUAUGCCUGGCUUUUAAGUGUCUAUAAAUAGUUUCUUUAAUUUGAGCAUUCCUUACAAAUCUGAGGACAUUUUUAGUUAUUUUUCUUCUACCUCCUAUAGGUAAUUUAUCUUAUGUAGUAUUUAAAAAUUACCUAUAGAAUGCCAUGGCUCUUAGAUCAGUCUCAAAUGAAUCUCUGGGUAUACUUUUAUAUCUCUGGUGUUAGAUUUAUACUUUUCCCAUUGGGUCCUUGCAUAUCCUCUUCUAUAAAGUUUUCAGGUCACAACUGAUGGGCUUUUAUAGAUAUUCAAUUCACUCAAUCAAUUUCACCUUGUGUAGAGAGAAUUAGUCUUCUGAGUUUUCUGACAUUAGCAAUACAUAAAAAUCCUAUAACAAAGUAUGCUCUCAUCUCUUUGAAAAUGAGUAAUGAGGCAUGACAAUUUCUUUCUGAAGCAAUAAUCAAGAAAAAGAGCCCUGCAUUUAAUUCAUUAUGUGAACCCAUAGAAAGAGCAAAGGAAAAAUAAAUAUUUUCACCCAUUUGAGUCAACUUCAAGCCUAAAAUUAUAGGUUCUUGCUACUUGGACUUAAUUGCUGUGACAAAGAAGCACAAGUUGCUGUGAUCAGAUCUCUCAUGGAAUACAAAAGCACGAAUCCUUGACAUUUUGAAGAGUAAUAUAAUAUAAUCAUCUUUGCCUUAACCUGAACUGAUUUUCUUUCAUAGUGUUUUUUUUUUUUAAUAUUAGAAAUGAAGACAAACCCAAACCUCAGGAAAUUUAAGUGAAAGUCCUGUUACUGAAAGAUAGUCUGUAAUAGGUGAGAGGAACUUAGGUCAUACCAUUUUGCAGUACUCAAAUUUAUAAUAAGUAAUGAAUAUUCUUAUGAACAUCAGGAUUUGGUUAAUUUGAAAGUUGCACACUUUCUUAAUACCCCCAAUUUAAAUGUCAAUCUUUGUUAUCAGCAUCAGUAUGGUGGUUGGAACUGGGUGGGUCUCAGAAACAGUCGCAGGUUGAGGAGAAGAAAGGCCCCCUUACAGGGUCAUGAAUAACACUCCAAGGAGGGGCAGCAAGGAGUGUGGACAGUGGUGUGGGGAGUGGAGUUAGUCUCUCCUUGCCCCCUCCAAGUCUGUCCCAAGAGAACCUGCUUUUGCAUCUUGGGGUCCUCUUCUGACUCUAUCCUUGUUUUUAAUGUCAGAGUUUCAUUCUUUUUUAAGCUUUAUAAAAAUUGUGAAAUAGUUCAAGCAUGCAGAAAAUUUCAGAAAAUAAAUGCAUGUGCCUACCACACAACUCUCUCAAAUAUUAUGAUUUACCAUAGUUGCUUCAGGAUGUUUUUCUUUUAUUAAGAGAAAAAGCCUCAUUGUAUGCCUGGUGUGGGGUGGGUAUGUGGAGAGAGUAGGGCAGGACUUCUCUCCCCUACUCCUAAGGCUUUUUACUCCUGUAAGGGGCUUUUUCCUGCUCUUGUCAUUAUUAUUACUUUGGGGCUCAGCCAGCCCAUGAUCUUAACCACCCCAUACCUCUUGGAUGCCAUCUGCCAACUCCUGGUCAAUCGUGAGGCUGAG